Molecule: unclassified non-coding RNA, 186 nt
Filed under: fungal sp.
Lineage: Eukaryota; Fungi
Description: partial internal transcribed spacer region
Rfam family: Eukaryotic small subunit ribosomal RNA (bases 1-46)
Source: RNAcentral
AAGUCGUAACAAGGUUUCCGUAGGUGAACCUGCGGAAGGAUCAUUAACACGAUCCCGACACGGCCGAAGACCGGGUCCCUGGGUCACCAUGCCCCUUGAUCACCACACUGUAACGCCGACAGGUCGCGAUAAUUCCGCUGACCACAAAAAACCGAACAACUGUUAACAAUGGAUAUCUUGGUUCUC